AUUUUGAAAUAGGGGGAAGCAUCCUGGAUUAGCCAGGUAGUUCCAGUACAAUCACAAGGGUGUUUAUAAAGCAGGAGGUGGAAGCAGAAGAGUUAGAGAAAAUAGGGCAAUCACAUCAGAGUGACAACCAUGGAUCAAGGAAUGUGGGCAGACACUAGAACCUGGAAAAGGCAAGGAAAAGAUUUUUGCCUCAAGCCUCCAGAAGAAAUGCAACUCUGUAGGCAUUUUGAUAUUAGCACUGCAGGACUCAUUUUGGACUCCUUACCUCCAGAACUGUAGGAUGACAAAUUAUCAUAAGCUCUUAAAUUUGUAAUAAUAUGUUAGAGCAGCUGUAGAAAAUUAAAACUAAUGAGAUACACUUUAUUCCUACUAAAUUACCUUUAUUUGAGGAUAACACUAAAUUUUUAGAGUUUAGGAAAUAUCAAUUCGUAUACCACUGUAUAAUAUAAAUUGGUACAAAUUCCCAGAAGGUAAGCAACAUGGACCAAAUUCUAAGUCCUUAAAAUAAUUUUAAUAUUUUUGUUCACUAACUAAACUUCAUGAAUUUAUAAUGAGAAAAUAAUCUUAUAUGUGUACAAAUAUUUUUGCAUAGUUAUAUAUAUUCAAAUAUUAAAUAUACCAAAACUGGAACCAAUUUAAGUGGUUAAGACAAAGGAAAUGGUUUAGACAAACUUUAUUAUAACCAUGCAAUGAAGUAUUAUACAUGGUGGUCAACUCCAUAAAAUGCUAAAAGAAAGAAGCAGACACCAAAACAUAUGAAAAUUACAACUCUUUCCUGUAAAAGGUAGACAUAAAAAAAGAUAUACACAGGAAAAAAUUAAGAAUACACUAAAAUAACAGAUUAUUUUUGUAUUAUGAGAUUUUGUGUGAUUUCCAUUUUCACCAUUAUAUAGUAUUGAGUUUUUGAAAUGUAUUUUCCUGAAAAAUUAAUGCAUUACUUUUAUAAUCAUAAAAUUUAAAUAGGAAAUGUAUAUUUAAUAUAUUGUUAGGAGAAAACUCAAUAAAUAAAACAUACCAUCAUUGUUAUGUGGAUAUGUGGCAAGCCCAGAAUCCUCACAGUUUAGCUCUUUGUACCAUUAUUCUGUUAGUCUCCUCUGCCACCCCUCUUUAUUGUAUUCCCAAGGCUCUCUGGAUUCUAGGGAGCAUAGUGUAAAAAUCACUGAUCUAAUCCAACUCAUUCACUUUGCUGAAAUCCAGGAAACCUAAGUAAAAAACUGAUAUUGUAAAGCUAGAUCUAGAAGAAAUGUUCUCUACCUCCUAAAAUUGUGGGCUUUGAAUUAUGUCAUAUUGCACUUCACCUUUCCCUCAGGCUGGUUUGGAAAAAGUAUGAGUAUCUGAGUGUCUCCUUCUCUCCUGGGAUGUCUUACCAGGGAAAAAGGGGGAAAAAAUAAAUUAAGAGAAUCCAGUUCAUACUCAGCAACUUAGGUGGAAUGCUUAGCCCACAAAUCUAUUUAGAAUCCUGAAAAACUUAGUCUUUUCUCUGUGCCCUGUAAUCAUUUCUGGAAGAAAACAUGCAUUUUGUUUGUUUCAAUAAAAGUGUAGUGUUUUGGGGGGAUUUUUUGUUUGUUUUAAAUGGGCCUCAAAUACACAGUGACACAACUCUUACUAAUGGGAUUCAAAUACACAGUGAGAUAGUAAGAGUUGUGUCAGUGUGUAUUUGAGGCCCAUUCAAUACAAAUAAUAUACAUUUGUCAUCCUACAGUUCUGGAGGUCAGAAGUCCAAAAAGCAGAGUUGCUCAUUCUUUCCAUCUUUGUCUUCACUUGCAAUGCUGACCUAUGACCUGAAAUUGCUGCCCAGUGAAAGUGAGUUAAGUUGUGCUGGUCCUUAGCACAUCAGCACCUCAGUUCCUCCCAUUGAGUACAAUUACCAAGGUGUGUGUGUGUGUCUUUUAUGUUGAACCAAUAGUGAUGUCCAGGACUAGGAAUGCCUGAGGUACUCAUCUGGUAGGUGUCUCUCGUAGGGAGCCCCCGGAGACAUUGCCCCCCACCCACCCCCCUGCAGGCAAUUCUGUGGCUACACUUGGCCAUUAUGGUUCUUAGGUUGCAGGAUGUAUGUCAGCAAAAAUUGUCAGGAAACUUUGAGGAACCAGAGUUAUUACUCUUGUGAUAUCUGCAAGUCCUGGAGAGUGUAUGGUAUGCCCAAGGACCACACAGCAAGGUCUCAGGUAAAGAAAGAGUGCAAGACAGGACCUGUGGCUGUACCUUUAUUAGUAUCACUAGUGGGGUGUCUAGAGUUUCCUAGGUUCACUCUUUAUUGGUCAGUUUAAAGCAUAAGAGCAGGAAUUAUAGUGUGGGAAAGAAGUGGGAUCACAGGACUUUCUGAAAGCAUGAUUUUCUUAUCUGGAAGCUCCUAAUUCCUCAUCUGGUUGUUUUGCUAGUAACCAUGUCAUAUAGCUGGCAAUAUGUUAAUUCAAGAUGGAUAUCUUUGGAAAUGGAUACCUUGGCACUCAAAAGCCUAAUGCCAGACAUUUACACUAUGAUCAGAAAGUUUAAUGUUAGCCACUUAUGCUCAGGUCGAUUUGCCACAGCCAAUCUGUGUAACUCUGUUUUUAUUAGGGGGUUUCAUAGUCUCUAUAACAAUAUUGAUCUUUCAAGAAUUUUUCCCCAGUCAUGACAAAUAGUAUCAACAUGUUCUUCAUUAUAUUUUGUCAUAUUUUAUUUAUAUACUGUUAUAUUUUAUUUGUUCACGGUAGAUACAACUUUUAUAUAAGAUAAAUAUUCUUAUUACUAAGAUAAAUUUAAAUUUAUUCACAGCAAAUUUUCACCUUCACUGGUUUAGUAUUUCUAAAUUUGAAAGUAGUUCACAAUUUAAAAAACAAUUAUGUUUGUUAUUCUGAAUAACUUCUGUUGUAUAUGGAAUAUUAUAUGUAUUGGUUAUUUUUGUUGUGUAACAAAUUAGCUAAAUUUAGUGGAUUAAAAAAGCCAGCAUUCAUCAGUUCACAAUAUGUGGGUGAGCAAUUUGGACUAAGUUCCGCUGAAUAGUUCUGUUGGUCGUGCUGGUUUACACGUGCGGCUGCAGUCAGCUUGUGGCUCUGCCGGAGCUGAAUGGUCUAGGAUAAAAUCAUUAUUAUAAUGGGCAGUUGGAAGCCUACUAGCCCUUCAAGGGGCUUCUCUAAGAAGCUAGAUUAGGAGUUCCCAUCAUGGCUCAGUGGUUAACGAAUAUGACUAGGAACCACGAGGUUUCAGGUUCCCUCAUUGCUGUGGCUCUGGUGUAGGCCGACGGCUACAGCUCCAAUUAGACCCCUAGCCUGGGAAUCUCCAUAUGCCGCAGGUGUGGCCCUAGAAAAG
This 3288-nucleotide long non-coding RNA is filed under the name Sus scrofa (pig). Its description in RNAcentral is "lncRNA (ENSSSCG00000056908.1, ENSSSCG00105010372.1)". The record is from RNAcentral. Lineage: Eukaryota; Metazoa; Chordata; Mammalia; Artiodactyla; Suidae.